UGAUUUUUUUAAUAUUCAGGUGUCCUUGCGACGUAACAGGGAAUCCCGUGCAAACCGGGAACGGACCCGCCGCUGUAACCUCUCCCCCUUUUAGCUCAUGAGAAAGGGGAACCUUUUGACACUUUUCUGCCACGGGACGGGAAGGCCGUCAAGAGGAGAGGGAGUCAGAAUACCUGCCUGAAUAUCCUGAUCGUC
RNAcentral lists this non-coding RNA (195 nucleotides) under Desulfobacterales bacterium. The record is from RNAcentral. Lineage: Bacteria; Pseudomonadati; Thermodesulfobacteriota; Desulfobacteria; Desulfobacterales.